Molecule: ribosomal RNA, 253 nt
Filed under: uncultured prokaryote
Description: partial 16S ribosomal RNA
Rfam family: Bacterial small subunit ribosomal RNA
Source: RNAcentral
UACGGAGGGUGCAAGCGUUGUUCGGAAUUACUGGGCGUAAAGGGCGCGUAGGCGGUUUGCUAAGUCGAAUGUGAAAACUCCGGGCUUAACCCGGAGCCUGCAUUCGAUACUGGCAGGCUAGAGUUCUGGAGGGGAUAGCGGAAUUCCAGGUGUAGCGGUGAAAUGCGUAGAUAUCUGGAGGAACACCGGUGGCGAAGGCGGCAUCCUGGACCGAUACUGACGCUGAGGAGCGAAAGCCAGGGGAGCAAACGGG